GGGUUGUGAGGUUAAGCGACUAAGCGUACACGGUGGAUGCCCUGGCAGUCAGAGGCGAUGAAGGACGUGCUAAUCUGCGAUAAGCGUCGGUGAGGUGAUAUGAACCGUUAUAACCGGCGAUUUCCGAAUGGGGAAACCCAGUGUGUUUCGACACACUAUCAUUAACUGAAUCCAUAGGUUAAUGAGGCGAACCGGGGGAACUGAAACAUCUAAGUACCCCGAGGAAAAGAAAUCAACCGAGAUUCCCCCAGUAGCGGCGAGCGAACGGGGAGGAGCCCAGAGCCUGAAUCAGUGUGUGUGUUAGUGGAAGCGUCUGGAAAGGCGCGCGAUACAGGGUGACAGCCCCGUACACAAAAAUGCACAUAUUGUGAGCUCGAUGAGUAGGGCGGGACACGUGGUAUCCUGUCUGAAUAUGGGGGGACCAUCCUCCAAGGCUAAAUACUCCUGACUGACCGAUAGUGAACCAGUACCGUGAGGGAAAGGCGAAAAGAACCCCGGCGAGGGGAGUGAAAAAGAACCUGAAACCGUGUACGUACAAGCAGUGGGAGCCUCUUUAUGGGGUGACUGCGUACCUUUUGUAUAAUGGGUCAGCGACUUAUAUUCUGUAGCAAGGUUAACCGAAUAGGGGAGCCGAAGGGAAACCGAGUCUUAACUGGGCGUUAAGUUGCAGGGUAUAGACCCGAAACCCGGUGAUCUAGCCAUGGGCAGGUUGAAGGUUGGGUAACACUAACUGGAGGACCGAACCGACUAAUGUUGAAAAAUUAGCGGAUGACUUGUGGCUGGGGGUGAAAGGCCAAUCAAACCGGGAGAUAGCUGGUUCUCCCCGAAAGCUAUUUAGGUAGCGCCUCGUGAAUUCAUCUCCGGGGGUAGAGCACUGUUUCGGCAAGGGGGUCAUCCCGACUUACCAACCCGAUGCAAACUGCGAAUACCGGAGAAUGUUAUCACGGGAGACACACGGCGGGUGCUAACGUCCGUCGUGAAGAGGGAAACAACCCAGACCGCCAGCUAAGGUCCCAAAGUCAUGGUUAAGUGGGAAACGAUGUGGGAAGGCCCAGACAGCCAGGAUGUUGGCUUAGAAGCAGCCAUCAUUUAAAGAAAGCGUAAUAGCUCACUGGUCGAGUCGGCCUGCGCGGAAGAUGUAACGGGGCUAAACCAUGCACCGAAGCUGCGGCAGCGACACUAUGUGUUGUUGGGUAGGGGAGCGUUCUGUAAGCCUGUGAAGGUGGCCUGUGAGGGUUGCUGGAGGUAUCAGAAGUGCGAAUGCUGACAUAAGUAACGAUAAAGCGGGUGAAAAGCCCGCUCGCCGGAAGACCAAGGGUUCCUGUCCAACGUUAAUCGGGGCAGGGUGAGUCGACCCCUAAGGCGAGGCCGAAAGGCGUAGUCGAUGGGAAACAGGUUAAUAUUCCUGUACUUGGUGUUACUGCGAAGGGGGGACGGAGAAGGCUAUGUUGGCCGGGCGACGGUUGUCCCGGUUUAAGCGUGUAGGCUGGUUUUCCAGGCAAAUCCGGAAAACCAAGGCUGAGGCGUGAUGACGAGGCACUACGGUGCUGAAGCGACAAAUGCCCUGCUUCCAGGAAAAGCCUCUAAGCAUCAGGUAACAUCAAAUCGUACCCCAAACCGACACAGGUGGUCAGGUAGAGAAUACCAAGGCGCUUGAGAGAACUCGGGUGAAGGAACUAGGCAAAAUGGUGCCGUAACUUCGGGAGAAGGCACGCUGAUAUGUAGGUGAAGCGACUUGCUCGUGGAGCUGAAAUCAGUCGAAGAUACCAGCUGGCUGCAACUGUUUAUUAAAAACACAGCACUGUGCAAACACGAAAGUGGACGUAUACGGUGUGACGCCUGCCCGGUGCCGGAAGGUUAAUUGAUGGGGUUAGCGGUAACGCGAAGCUCUUGAUCGAAGCCCCGGUAAACGGCGGCCGUAACUAUAACGGUCCUAAGGUAGCGAAAUUCCUUGUCGGGUAAGUUCCGACCUGCACGAAUGGCGUAAUGAUGGCCAGGCUGUCUCCACCCGAGACUCAGUGAAAUUGAACUCGCUGUGAAGAUGCAGUGUACCCGCGGCAAGACGGAAAGACCCCGUGAACCUUUACUAUAGCUUGACACUGAACAUUGAGCCUUGAUGUGUAGGAUAGGUGGGAGGCUUUGAAGUGUGGACGCCAGUCUGCAUGGAGCCGACCUUGAAAUACCACCCUUUAAUGUUUGAUGUUCUAACGUUGGCCCGUAAUCCGGGUUGCGGACAGUGUCUGGUGGGUAGUUUGACUGGGGCGGUCUCCUCCUAAAGAGUAACGGAGGAGCACGAAGGUUGGCUAAUCCUGGUCGGACAUCAGGAGGUUAGUGCAAUGGCAUAAGCCAGCUUGACUGCGAGCGUGACGGCGCGAGCAGGUGCGAAAGCAGGUCAUAGUGAUCCGGUGGUUCUGAAUGGAAGGGCCAUCGCUCAACGGAUAAAAGGUACUCCGGGGAUAACAGGCUGAUACCGCCCAAGAGUUCAUAUCGACGGCGGUGUUUGGCACCUCGAUGUCGGCUCAUCACAUCCUGGGGCUGAAGUAGGUCCCAAGGGUAUGGCUGUUCGCCAUUUAAAGUGGUACGCGAGCUGGGUUUAGAACGUCGUGAGACAGUUCGGUCCCUAUCUGCCGUGGGCGCUGGAGAACUGAGGGGGGCUGCUCCUAGUACGAGAGGACCGGAGUGGACGCAUCACUGGUGUUCGGGUUGUCAUGCCAAUGGCACUGCCCGGUAGCUAAAUGCGGAAGAGAUAAGUGCUGAAAGCAUCUAAGCACGAAACUUGCCCCGAGAUGAGUUCUCCCUGACUCCUUGAGAGUCCUGAAGGAACGUUGAAGACGACGACGUUGAUAGGCCGGGUGUGUAAGCGCAGCGAUGCGUUGAGCUAACCGGUACUAAUGAACCGUGAGG
RNAcentral lists this ribosomal RNA (2904 nucleotides) under Escherichia coli. RNAcentral's name for it is "partial 23S ribosomal RNA". It matches the Rfam family "Bacterial large subunit ribosomal RNA". The record is from RNAcentral. Lineage: Bacteria; Pseudomonadati; Pseudomonadota; Gammaproteobacteria; Enterobacterales; Enterobacteriaceae.